Molecule: transfer RNA, 90 nt
Filed under: Magnetococcales bacterium
Lineage: Bacteria; Pseudomonadati; Pseudomonadota; Magnetococcia; Magnetococcales
Description: tRNA-Ser
Rfam family: tRNA
About the family: Transfer RNA (tRNA) molecules are approximately 80 nucleotides in length. Their secondary structure includes four short double-helical elements and three loops (D, anti-codon, and T loops).
Source: RNAcentral
GGAGGAGUGCCGGAGCGGUUGAACGGGACGGUCUCGAAAAUCGUUAUGGGGGCAACUCCAUCCAGGGUUCGAAUCCCUGCUCCUCCGCCA